UACCAGCUCUCCGAGUGGUGUGGAUGUUUAUUGGGCCUAAAGCAUCCGUAGCUGGCUGGACAAGUCCCCUGUUAAAUUCAGCGACCUAAUCGUUGAGCCGCGGGAGAUACUACUAGGCUAGGAGGCGGGAGAGGUCGACGGUACUUUCGGGGUAGGGGUGAAAUCCUAUAAUCCCGGGAGGACCACCAGUGGCGAAGGCUGUCGACUAGAACGCGCUCGACGGUGAGGGACGAAAGCUGGGGGAGCGAACCGGAUUAGAUACCCGGGUAGUCCCAGCUGUAAACUAUGCGGGCUAGGUGUUGGGGUGGCUACGGGCCACUUCAGUGCCGCAGGAAGCCAUUAAGCCCGCCGCCUGGGGAGUACGGCCGCAAGGCUGAAACUUAAAGGAAUUGGCGGGGGAGCACCACAAGGCGUGAAGCUUGCGGUUC
Molecule: ribosomal RNA, 428 nt
Filed under: uncultured archaeon
Lineage: Archaea
Description: bacterial SSU rRNA
Rfam family: Archaeal small subunit ribosomal RNA
Source: RNAcentral